UCCCUGGAGGACUAGUGGUUAGGCUUUGGCGCUCUCACCACUGUGGCCCGGGUUCGAUUCCUGGCUAGGGAA
This 72-nucleotide transfer RNA is filed under the name Pangasianodon gigas (Mekong giant catfish). RNAcentral describes it as "tRNA-Glu". It matches the Rfam family "tRNA". From Rfam's summary of the family: Transfer RNA (tRNA) molecules are approximately 80 nucleotides in length. The record is from RNAcentral. Lineage: Eukaryota; Metazoa; Chordata; Actinopteri; Siluriformes; Pangasiidae.